Molecule: ribosomal RNA, 161 nt
Filed under: uncultured bacterium
Lineage: Bacteria
Description: partial 16S ribosomal RNA
Rfam family: Bacterial small subunit ribosomal RNA
Source: RNAcentral
UGAGGAAUUUUGCGCAAUGGGGGAAACCCUGACGCAGCGACGCCGCGUGGAGGACGAAGGCCUUCAGGUCGUAAACUCCUGUCAAGUGGGACGAAUCCCGGUCGGAUGAAUAAGCCGGCCGGUUGACGGUACCACUGAAGGAAGCCCCGGCUAACUCCGUG